GGUUGCAGAGAUGAGGAUGCUCAGGUGGAUGUGCGGGCUCACCAGGCUAGAUAAGAUUAAGAAUGAAGUUAUUCGGGAAAAGGUGGGGGUGACCCCAGUGGAUGAGAAAAUGCGAGAAGCGAGGCUUAGAAUGUUCGGGCAUGUGCGUGGGAGAAGCCUUGAUGCCUCGGUGAGGAGUUGUGAGCGGCUGGCGGUAGUCGGGGUGAGUCGAGGCAGAAGGAGACCUAAGAGGCAUUGGGGAGAGGUGAUUAGGAAGGACAUGGCUAGAAUGUGGAUUUCCGAGGACAUAGCCCUUGAUAGGAAAGUCUAGAGGUCUAGUAUCAGGGUAUUAGGAUAGGGGCGUCUAGAAUCUAUCGUACUCCUUUCCCGGGGCUGAGGGGUUUGGUAGGGCUCUCCAUAGAUGAUCUGUAUAUUGGAGUGUGUCCACUUAUGUUAGUUAUUGUUUAAUAUUAUCGCAUGCCAUUUUAUAUACGUUUUUAUGUUAGAUAAUUAUUUAUGUGAUUUAUGCUGGAGUUACUAAUGCUAAUUUGUUUUUGUUUUUGUUUUGAUUUUCCUUUCCUGAGCUGAGGGUUGAUUGGAAACAGCCUCCCUGCCCUUUCGGGUAGGGGUAAGGCUUGUCUACAUAUUACCCUCCCCAGACUCCCACCUGAUGGGAAUAUACUGGGUAGUUGUUGUUGUUGUUGUUGUUUGUUUAUCUUUUAAAAUUUAUUUAAUUACCAAGCUAAGUAAAUUUUUCGCUUCGUAUAGUGUGUGCUGGAGAAAUAAAAGUAAAAGUCAAAUUUUAGAUGGAUGAAUUAGAUUUAUGUAUUCCCAGCCGAAUCCGUUGAGCCAAAGUUUUGAGUAUUUUAUGGGUCCAAAUUUGAUCGUCUAUGAGUGCUUCAGCAUCUUGAAAACUAUUUUACAGCCUGAUUAUUGGACUUUCUUCAACAUUACAUUUUGGUGGAUAUUGGAAAAAGCACAGAUAAUAACCUUACCAUCAAGGGCCAUCCUUUCAAAAGCAUACUGUUUACUACAUGAUCUGCUCCUGAAUCAAAUAAGAAGGUGAAUGAGCUACACCAUUCUCCCUUUUUCUCAUUUAAAUGGGAUGGAGGAGGGGUAUAUCGAAGCUAGACUGACAAACAACAUACAACUGAAAAAAACAUUGGUAGAAAACAAACUCAAAGGACGAACACCAUUAUUUAUUAAUUCUUGACCAAUAAUCAUUCAAGUUUAUGCAUGUUAUCAAGACUUAAAGUUCAAGAGAAAAGUGAAAUUAACUAUUCUGGAAGAAAUAGCACAGAUCUUCAUUUUUUUCAUGCUAAAAUUAAUCUUCACAAAUUCAUGCUACAGCAGUACACUGGUCUUCAUCAUGUUUAGAGCACUCAUAAACAAGCAGAAGCUCCUACUUUAACUUCAAAUCACAAAGAAGAGACUUCUACUGCAUCACGGGCAGUCAUCUUUCAAAAUGAUUCUAUCUAGUUUGACCAGACACAAUACUGACACUUUUGAUUAUUGUUUAAAGUGAAUUUGCUUUCAUCUUGCUUUCAUCUUGUUGAGAAGGGUGUGACUUGACCUGUAGCUGAUGUGGCACUUAUCUAAGUGACAGGCUGUUAGAGAUUAAUUAGGGUCUCUUAUAGGUUGUUAGUAGGUUAAUGAUAGUUAAAGUUAGGGUUCCUUUUCCCCUCCUAAACUUGCUCUCUAUUUUUUCAUCUCUCUAGAAUUAGGGUUCCUUUGCUAUAAUUAGAAACACGCCACAUCUAAAACCUCGAACAGGAAAACCAUAUGUUCAAAGCUCAUUACUUCAAUAAAGGAUUUAAUUGCUAAUUGUUAAUACCAGAAACUUCAGUGAGUGAUUUACCUGACUCGGCAGCUUUGAAAUUCAAAGAUGGAUUCAUCAUAUUUGUUAAGCUCUGGUCCAGCUUCAGACAACAGAAAAACUAAGCAGUUAGAGCAAAAUGUUCUUAUCAAUUGCCUUUCCACUUCUUUUUUUCAUGAGAAAUGUUUAUUUUUCCCAGAUUUCUUAGUAUUUUAUAUAUUUCUAUUUAUCAUUCCAUUUUUAUACUUGCUUUUUGGAAGGAGGAAGAUAGUUACUUGAGGGACACGGAGUUGCUGAUCUUGAUCAGUUAGUGGAGGAUAAAAACUUAAAUUACCACCAGGAACACUGUGUUGUAUUUGCCUGAAAUAAAACAACAAUGACACUAAGGUAAACAGACGUCCUGCCAUGAGAGCACCAGCAGACUUGGUUCAAACAGAGUACCCCGAGUGCUGGUCCCUAUAGGUAUCCAGAUUUGAUAUGACGCUGUGAUUUGCAACUAAAUGCUGACCAAAACUUCCACUACUCCUUGUGUUUGCGGGUGUCUAUAAAAAUAAAAAUGAAGAAAGAAUGAUUCAAAUAUGAUGGCUCAAAAAGAAAGACAUGAAUGAGAGAACUAGUAGAGCAAUUGUUAUAACUUUAAGUUUGCACACCUUCUUAUUAGCCUCAGAUAGGGGUUUUCUCUGAGCUGGAGGGUAAUUCUCGUACACCCUUUUGGUUAAAGCAUUUGUUGUCCCUAGAUUUUGUUUUGUGAUAACCUCAUUGGUAGUCCCCCUGAGAAGCUGAGUAUCGUCACCUUGCUGUUGCUUUUGUAGGACACCCUUCUGUUGCUGUUGUUGUUCCAAUGUUUUCAUCAUUUGAACCUGCAACCCCAAAAUCAGGAAAAUAGAUACUUUAACACUUUGUACAAAUAGGCCAGGCCAGCUGAAAACAAAAAAUUUAGAAAAAUACAUUAACAUGUGACUUUUAUAAACAUAUGGACACACGUAAAUAGGCCAAAACUAGUUGUUAAAACUGUGUAACACAUUGCAAACAUACCGCAUUGUAAGAUCCAGUAGUGCUUGAAACAGGGCUCUUAAACCGAACAAUGAAAACAUCCCAAAAGACUGACCACCAUUCAAGGAGAAAACCAGCCGGAGCAUCUAUAGCUGGAAAACAAAUGUUUAUUCAAGAAAGUCAAAAGCAAAAUUGGAAAAGCUGAAUGAACUAAACUGGUUGUAUUACUUACCAGUACGGUUGGUGACAACUUGUGCUUCAGCUUUAAAUGUCCUAGCGGAAGCACCUAGUUUUCUCUUCACUAGAUAAUCAUGUAUAUAAACAUCCAACCUGUUGUCCAUCAAAAUUAAACUUAAAGCGAAAAAUCUACAUUAUGAUAUUAUGUAAAACAAGACGUCAACAAUAACAGGAAAACACAAGCAUCUACAAAAAGCACUAUAAUCUACAAAAAGCACUAUAAUCUAUAAAAAGCACAUAUCACUUUUAAAAACAUCCAUUGGGGUUAAAACCCAUAUGAUUAGACGUAAACCCACAAAGAAAUCAUUACAAUACCCAUUCAGCAAGAGAGAAAAAAACAUCGACGUACAGAGGCCAGCGCGAAUCUAGAGUAUUGUAAGGGUGGUCAAUUGACCACCCUUCGUCCAAAAAUUUCUGGCUUCGGCACUCACAGAGGCCACAACCUUUUAUAUGAAGAAAGAGGCUAAGAACCAGAAUAGCAAAGUGAUGACUAAAACCCCAUCUCCAAUAGAUGUAAAAGCAGAAGAACCCAAAAUCACAUGCAUACAACUAAAGAAAUUUAAGAAGGAAAUGAAGUAAAUCCACAAAAAAUGCAAGAAGAUUGUAACAGACGCAGCUGGAAUAAAAUAUUAUUAGAAAGUCCCUCACAUUUUAUCAGCUUCCAUGGUGGUUGAUUUUGAUAGUCUCCAGGGACCUCAAAGACUGUGAAGAAGAAUGUCUGCCUACUGAUUUACUUUAAGCUUUCUUUGAAUGCUGCCUACUACACGACAAAAAUAGGCAAAACAAAAAGGACAAAAUCACAGUCCCUCAAUAGAACAUGCAAGGUAUGGGCUAACAUUUUAAACUAGGAAUUACGAUUUAACGGUCAAACGAUAGUAAAUAUAUUAUGGAUUUCCUUUGUUUCAAAUUUAGAUCACAUAUUUUGUUUCCAAAGUUAAUUUGACUAAAUUUUGAAGCUAAAUUAAAUUAGCUCAGCUUAGUAUUUUAAAAUUUAAAUUUAAAUAUUCAAAAAUUACAUGAAAAGUGCUAUAAAUUAUAAUUUUUCUCAUGUUAAUUUGAUAACAAAAUAUAUUUUAAAAUAUUAGUCAAACUUCACAUAGUUGGACUCGAUGAGUGAAAUGUGUCAUUUAAAUUAAAACAGAAGAAACAUAUUUUAUUGCAAAUUUGACCAAUGUAGAGUAAAAACAACAACAAUAACAUACCCAUUGGUAUCCCACAAAGUAGGAUCUGAGGAGAGUAGAAUUUAGGCAGACCUUAUUCUGACAUUUGUGAAGGUUGAGAGUAUGAUUUUCGGUAGACCCCUAACUCAAAGAAAAUUAAAAGAGGCAGACAUGACAAGUAUAACUAUAGCAAGAUAAAGAGAUAAGGUGAUAAGAUGAUAAGGUGAUAGAAUAAUUAAAUGGAAAGAAACAACAUAUAACAAAAGAAUUAUACGAAUAGGAAGUUACGAAAAUAUGACACUAGUAAUAACGUUACCGACAUGAAAAGGAGACAUGCAUGCCUAUCUACUAAUCUUCUACCAUAAUUCCUAACCUUCAUAUAUGUCUAUCAAGGGUCAAGAAACAACACUAUAUCAUGCAUAAUCAUCUCUUUUCCAUACUUCUUAGGCCUACCUCUACCUCUCCCCCAGCCCCACCAUGACCAACCUAUCACACCCCCUAAUUCGAGCAUCUAUGCACCUCCUCUUCACAUGUUUGUACCAUCUCAGUCUAGCUUCCUGCAUCUUGUCUUCCACGGGGUCGCUCCCACCUUGUUUCGGAUAGCUUCAUUGUUAAUUUUAUCUCUCCUAGUAUGUGAUACAUCCAUCUAAACAUCCACAGUUUUGCUACUUUUAUCCUCUGCACAUGUGUGUUCUUAACUUGUCAAUACUCCAUCCCAUACAACAUUGUCGGUGUCACGAUCCAAAAUCCAACUAGUUGUGAUGUCACCUAACUCAAUUCUCUAAGUAACCAAGUAUCCAUAAACGCAAUCCAAAUGAAAGUAACAUGAAAUAAAUGAUGAAAUAAUUGAAUUCUUAUACAAUAACCCAAGGACUAAUAAGUACAAGUCAUGAGCUACUAUGACUUAGAUUUACAAAACGGAAAUGAAAUAAUUACAACAUCUGUUUGGAAUGUACAUUAACUGAAUUUGAAUCUAAAGCUACCAAGGACAAGUGAUAGCCAUAACUGGAAUACCGGUACAUAUUCAAUGCCAAAUCCCGCCAUACACAACAUCAACUCCAAAAUGUGCACGCAAGGUGCAGAAGUGUAGUAUGAGUACAACCGACCCCAUAUAUUCAAUAAGUAUCUUAACUAACCUCGGGAGGUAAAAGAAGCAAGAACUAUAAAUGAUACUUGUUAUCACCUGAACAACUCAUAAUUUCAAUAGUGUAGAACAUAUAUAUGAUCAAACAAGGAAAUCUCAGGUAAAAUAUCAUUAUUUUAAAGUAUUCUUCUCAGUCAACAAUCCAUCAUAUAAAGAAGAUAUGCAAGUAAAGCGGGUAAACAGUCAAGGAAAUUGCAAGUAAAGAUGAAAUGCAAUAAUGACAUAUCAGUAUGUUGUGGCGCAACCCGAUCCAAAUAACAUUAAGCCAAUAAGGCAUGUUGCGGUGUGCAACUAGAUCAAAUAAUAGUAAUCAGCUCUAUCUGAGCUCACAUCAACCAAAAACCCGUUGGUUUUUCAUAAUUUGUGUGUACACCAUCAAGAGAGAAACAUGAGAGGGUAGCCUGGGGGAUGGAUUUGUAUCUGCACGCAAGCACGACCAAUUCAACGUACUAACAGCCCGACGUGGCCACAAGCUCAAUAUCAUAAACCGCUAGGCGUGGUCACAAACUCAAUAUCAACCGCACAGACAACACACAUGCCAUAAUAUCAAUAUGUGGAUCUGUAUGGACUCAUCACAUGCUUCACGAAAAAUUCAUAUGUUGCACGAACAACUCAUGUGUCGAUACCGCAAUCCGCCCAGCGUGGUCACAUGCAUAACAAUACAGUCCACCCAGCAUGAUCACAGGCAUAAUAAUACAAUCCGUCUGUUGUGGUCACAAGCAUAACAAUACAAUUCGUCUGGCAUGGUUACACACAUCUAGCCGAAUCAUCUCACGCAUGAGAAAAUAAAUAACGAUACAUAUAUAUGAUGAAUGAAUAACAGAUCUCAUGCUCCUGGUCUGGUAUAAAUGAUGUGUUGAAUUGUAGGCAUGUACAAAGUGUGCAAUCAUAUCUCAAAUCAACAAUUUCAUCACAAAAAUAACAAUUGACAAGUUUAUUCGAGAAAUUAGCUUCUUUGUAACCUCAAACACGAUUCAAAUAGUUCACAACAAUGUUACAAAUACGAAAAAUAUUAUAGCUUAAAGCAUAACAGUCAAUUCUAGGCAUAUCAUUGCCUAAGAACUACCUCGAGCAUGGAUAAAUACUCUAGUGCUCGUACAUGUGCUCAAACCCCACACAUAUGCACACAUAUAGCACGUAACUAUCACAAAUAACUCAAGAAACUAGAGCUUCAACCAAGUUUAGAUAAGAUAUUUACUUCAAGCAAGCAAAACAAUACCCUAUAAGCUCCUUCAUGUACAAAUCGACAUCUGAACGACUCGAAACUAGCCAAAAACAACUCAAGAAUAUGAAAUAAUUCCCAAUGAAACAAACAUAAUCUAUGAAGGUUGAAUAUUUAAUCAAACACUCAAAGUCAACCAAAAAGUCAAACCUUGGGCUCGCACCUCGGAACCCAAUAAAACUAACAAAUUUUGGCAACCCGUUGAAUUACGAGUCCAACCAUACUAAUUUCACUCAAAUCCAACUUUGAAUCGGUUUUCAAAACUCAAAAAUAUACUUUAGAAUAGUUUAGACAACCCCCCCCCCCAAAUUUCCCUCAAAAAAUUCAUAAUCCAAAUGCAAAAAUCGAAGAUAGAAUCAUGAAAUAUAAUCAAAUCCAAGUAGAAAGUACUUGCCUCAAUCCAUGUGCUGAAAAUCCUCUCCAAAAAUCGCCCAAAUCCGAGCUCCCCAACUCAAAUUGUGAUAAAAGGUCCGGAAUAGAGUACUUAUAUGCACGGUCAAUGGUACUCUACAUGACCGCGAUCCACAAAUAUACGCUACCACAAUUAACUCAACGUGUUUGCGGCAUAAAACUCAUGAGUGCAAUACUCAAAGUGACAUAACUAUGCGAAAGCAAGAGCAUCAUCGCAAACAUGAAGGAAAAAUCAUCAACUGCCCGGCUCAGUCAAAACAUUAUGCGAACGCGUAGAAGCAAAUGCAAAUGCGAAGAAUACCAGUCCUCCCAACAUACACAAAUGCAAUCACCAAGUCACGAAUGAGAUGAAGUAAAUCACCCAGCUCACAUAAUACACUACACAAUCUCGGUCUCCUAUUAACAAUCACGACGAGGAACUGAAACACUAGAAUACUGCAGUGCUAAAAUGAGUCGAAAUCUAUCAGAAACUCACCCGAGCCCCUCGGGACCCCGUCCAAACAUGCCAAAAAGUUCCAAAAUAUAAUAUGGACCUACUCGAUGCCUCAAAUAACACAUAAAAAUAUUGAAACUAUGAAUCGCACCUCAAAUCAUACUUGAUGAACUUUUGAACUUUCAACUUCUAAAACUCAUGUCGAACUAUACCAAAUCAAUAGGGAAUGACCUCAAAGUUUUCACACAAGUCCCAAAUGAUAUAACGAAGUUAUUCCAAUCCCCAAAACCACAAUCCAAACCCGAUAUCAUCAAAGUCAACACUUGAUCAAACUUAUAAAUAUUCUAACCCUUCAAAUUUCUAUCUUUUGUCAAAUAGUGCUGAAACCUUCUAGAAACAUCCAAAUGCAAAUAUGAGCAUACGCCUAAGUCCAAUAUCACUAUCCGAACCUACGAUCCUCUACGAUUGCAAUUCACAAACAUAUGUCUGACCUCAACUUACCUUACGUGAUUGCGGAUAGACUCACACGGUCGUAGUGAACAAAUCACUGCUAUAAAAAUGCCAGAAAACUACAAUAUCUCAUAGGCCAAAAUUGCAUGUUUGAGCAUCCGAAAUACACUCGAGGCCCCCCGAAACCUCAACCAAACCUACCAACAUAUCCCAUAACAUCAUUCAAAUCUUUCCAACCUUUGGAAUGCUCAAAACAACAUCAAAACACCAAUGUAGCAUCGGAUUCAAGCCUAAAAACUUCAAAAACUCUAAAAAUACACUUUCGAACAAAAAGUCUAUCAAACCUCGCCUGAAUGACCUAAAAUUUUGCACACACAUCACAUUCAACACUACGGAGCUACUCCAACUUCUGAAAUUUCAUUCCUACCCUAAGAUCAAAAUCUCACUAUCGAACCGAAAACUUCAAAAAUUCAACUUUCGGCAUUUCAAGCCUAAAUGAGCUACGGACCUCCAAAAUACAAUCCGAACACGCCCCUCAUUCCGAAAUCACUCAAUAGAGCUAACGGAAUCGACGGAUUUUCAUUCCAAUGCCGUCUUCACAUUGUUCUGACUAGGGUCCAAAUUCUAAAGCUUAAGCUCUCAUUUAGGGAUUAGAUGUCCCAAAAACCUCCGAAACUAAAAAAUGAAUCUUCCCGGCAACCCACAAUAGCAUAAACAACAUGAGAAAAACAGUGAAUAGGGGAUCAUGGCAUUAAUUCUCAAAACGACCGACCAGAUCGUUACAUAUUAAGUGCAUAUUGGUUCAUCUUAUAUAUCUUCGAUAUAAAAGAAAUAAAUUAAUGAAGCUACUAUUAUUAAAUAUAUUCCCAAAAUGUUAUAUUUCGAGUUUUAUUAUGAAUUCGCAUAGGAACAUGCUCCUAAACCCAAAAUCACCCAACGGAGCUAAUGGACCAUCAGAAUUCCAUUCCGAGGCUGUCUUCACACUGUUACAACUUCGGUCAAAUUUCCAAAACUUAAGCUCUCAUUUAGGGAUUAAGGGUACCAAAACUCUCCAAAACUCCAAGUGAACCCUCUCAGAAACUCAUACUAGCAAAAACAAACACGGUUAAAGCAGUUAAUAGGGGAUCAGGGAAUUAAUUCUUAAGACGACCGGCCGGGUCGUCACAUCCUCCUACACUUAAACAUCCGUUCGUCCUCCAACGAGCAUAGAGACAUACCCGAAGUAGUAAAAAUAUGAGGGUAACGGCUGCGCAUAUCCUUCUCGGUCUCCCAGGUCACCUCCUCGACCGGCUGACCCCUACAUUGAGCCUUCACGAAUGCAAUGUUCUUUAACCUCAACUUUCUAACCUACUUGUCCAAUAUUGACAUUGGCUCCUCAACAUAGGAUAGAUCCUUGUCCAACUAGACUGAACUGAAAUCCAAAACGUGCGAUGGAUCGCCAUGUUACCUCCGGAACAUCGAAACAUGAAAUAUUGGAUGAACUCCUGCCAAACUUGGAGGUAAGGCAAGCUCAUAAGCAACCUCCCCAACACGCCUCAAUAUCUCAAAACGACCAAUAAAUCUCGGACUCAACUUUUCUUUCUACCCAAAUCUCAUAACGUCCUUCAUAGGCAAAACCCGAAGAAGAACUCGCUCUCCAACCAUAUAGGAAACAUCACGAACCUUCCGAUUCGCAUAACUCUUCUGUCUGGACUGGGCUGUGCGGAGUCUAUCCUGAAUCCCCUUAACCUUCUCCAAAGCAUACUGAACCAAUUCUGUGCCCAGUAAUCUAGCCUCACCCGACUAAAACAAACCCACUGGGGAUCACUACCGCCUACCAUAUAAGGCCUCAUACGGUGCCAUCUGAAUGCCGGACUGAUAGUUGUUGUUGUAGGCAAACUUUGCCAAUGGCAAGAACUGAUCCCAGGACUCUCCAAACUCAAUCACACACGCACGGAGCAUAUCCUCAAGCAUCUGAAUAGUGAGCUCAGACUGUCCAUCAAUCUGAGGGUGAAAUAUUGUAUUCAACUCCACCCGAGUACCCAACUCAUACUGAACAGCCAUUUGGAAUCGUAAAGUGGACUUAUUACCCCUAUAUUAAAUGAUGGAAACAGGGAUACCAUGAAUACGAACAAUCUCCCUAAUAUAAAUCUCUGCCAACUGCUUCGAGGAAUAAAUAGUACACACAUGAAUGAAGUGAGCGUACUUGGUCAACCGAUCUGCAAUCACCCAAAUAACAUCGAACUUUCUCAAAGUCCAUGGGAGCCCAACUACAAAGUCCAUUGUGAUCCGCUCCCACUUCCACUCCGGAAUCUCUAUCUGCUGAAGCAACCUACCCGGUCUCUGGUGCUCGUACUUCACCUACUCAUAGUUGAGGCACCAAGCUACAAGCCCAACCAUAUCUUUCUUCAUCCGCCUCCACCAAUAGUGCUGUCUCAAAUCCUGAUACAUUUUCGUUGCACCUGGAUGAAUGGAAUACCGCGAACUAUGGGCCUACUCUAGAAUCAACUCCUGAAGCCCAUCAACAUUGGGUACACAAAUCUGACCCUGCAUCCUCAACACCCCGUCAUACCGAUAGUCACGUCUCUGCAUCACGAUGCUGAACCUUGUCCUUGAGGACAAGCAAAUGAGGGGCAUCAUACUGACGUUCCCUGUUACGAUCAAAUAAAAAAGAUCGAGAAACCACGCAAGCUAGAACCCGACCGGGCUCCGAAAGAUCCAGUCUCACAAACUGGCUGGUAAGGCUUGAACAUCCAUCGCCAUUGGCCUCUCCGAUGCUAGUAAAUUAGCCAAUCUCCCCAAACUCUCUACCCGGCAACUCAAAGCAUCGACCACCACAUUGGCCUUGACCGGGUGAUUCAGAAUAGUGAUAUCAUAGUCCUUCAGCAACUCCAACCACCUCCUCUGGCGCAAAUUAAGAUCUUCUUGCUUGAACAGGUGUUGUAAGCUCCGAUGAGCAAUAUAAGUCUCACAAGGUACACCGUAUAAAUAAUGGCGCAAAAUCUUCAGGGCACGAACAAUGGCAGCAAGCUCUAGAUUAUGGACAUGAUACUUCUUCUCAUGCACUUUCAACUGUCUGGAUGCGUAGGCAAUCACCCUACCAUCCUGCAUCAAAACUGCUCCAAGGCCAAUACUCAAGACAUCACAAUAGACAAUGUAAGACCCCAAACCUGUAGGCAAUAUCAUAACUGGGGUUGUAGUCAAAGCUAUCUUAAGCUUUUGGAAGCUCGCCUCACACUCUUUCGUCCACUAGAACGGAGCACCUUUCUGGGUCAGUUUGGUCACAGGGGCUGCAAUCGAUGAAAUCCCUCAACAAAACGAUGGUAGUAACCCGCCAAGACAAGGAAACUGCGAAUCUCUGUAGAUGAGGAUGGUUUGGGCGAACUAUGCAUGACCUCUACUUUCUUAGGAUCCACACGAUUACCCUCACUCAACACCACAUGGCCUAAGAACGCCACGUAAUCCAACCAAAACUCACAUUUCGAGAAUUAGCAUAUAACGUCUUUUCCCUCAAGGUCUCAAGGACUAUCCUCAGGUGCUGCUCAUAAUUUUCCCAACUCUGGGAAUACACCAGAAUAUCAUCAAUAAAGAUAAUGACGAACAAGUCAAGAUAUGGCCGGAACACACUGUGUAUUAAAUGCAUAAAGGCUGCUGUGGCAUUGGUCAGCCCAAAAGCCAUGACAAGGUGCUCGUAAUGACCAUACCGAGUCCUGAAAGCAGUCUUCUGGAUAUUUGGCUCCUGAAUCUUGAACUAAUGGUAAACUGAGCUCAAGUCAAUCUUGGAAAACAUCCGUGCGCCCUGAAGUUGGUCAAACAGAUCAUCAAUAUGAGGCAAAGGAUAACUUCUUCACCGUAACCUUGUUCAACUGGCGAUAAUCGAAACACAUCCGCAUAGAACCAUCUUUUUUCUUCACAAACAAGACAGGAGCACCCCAAGGUGAUACAAUGGUCCGAAUAAAACCCUUAUCAAACAGUUCAUGUAACUGAUCCUUCAAUUCCUUCAACUCAAGAGGAGCCAUACGAUAUGGAGGAAUAGAAAUAGGCUAAGUUCUCGGCAACAGAUCAAUGCCAAAAUCAAUAUCUCUAUCAGGUGGCAUGCCUGGAAGAUCGGCUGGAAACACAUCGCAAAAAACUCGUACUACUGGGAUUGAAUCAACUGAAGGGGUAUCAAUACUGACAUCUCUCACACAAGCUAAAUACACGUCACACCCAUUCUCAACCAUACACUGAGCCUUAUGAAAAGAAAUAACUCUACAAUGAGUGUGAUCUAAACUAUCCCACCACUCAAUAUGCGGUACGCCUGGCAUAGCCAACGCCACAGUUUUUGCAUGACAAUCAAGGAUAGCAUAAUAGGGCGACAAUCAGUCCAUGCCCAAGAUAAUAUCAAAAUCUACCAUGCUGAGCAACAAUAAAUCGGCUCCAUGUCUCAAAACUACUAAGAGCAACCAAACACGACCGAUAAAUGAGGUCCACAACAAGAGAGUCUCCCACAGGAGUAGAAACAUAAAUAAGAGAACUCAAAGAAUCCCGAGGUACACCCAAAUGCGAAGCAAAAUAGGAAGAUACAUAAGAGUAAGUAGAGCUUGGGUCGAAUAGAACUGAUACAUCUCUAUGACAAACCACUAUAAUACCUGUAGAUGUGUGAUUUUUGACCCUCCCCGAGAUUUUUCGUAUUUUAGCAUAUAAAUAUUUAGUUUAGGUGUAAUAUAGCUAUUUCAGCUAAUUUUUAACUCUUUUACUUUACUUUGUCACAAAAUGAAGAAAAUUACAAAAAAGGAUAUUUAAAUUAUAGUUUAUGUAUUUUUUAUAAACUUGAAAAAUACAAAAAAAUAGUACCUUAUUUACAUCUUCAUAUAAUUUAGAAAAUACAAAAAAAUAGUUUCAUCAAUGUUUUGUGCUCAUUUUAAUCUUUAUAUACAAAAACGGUUGCAUCAUCUUCUUCUUCUUCUGCUUCAAUUUUCUCCAACGAAAAACCCUAAACCAUCCUCCAUAGCCACACCAAAAAACCACCCGUCCCCUAACACCCAAACAGCCCCCUAGCAGCAGCUUUCCGCCAUCUUCAGCCCACGACCAAGCUGCCCGUCUCCACCAGCUGAACCUCACACCACCACCUCCGUUCCUACGUCCACCACGACCCACCGAUGAACACCAGAAACCUUCUGCUCUUCGACCUCGACCUCACCAGUUCAAACAGGCGUCGACCAGCCAAACGACCAUAACCAACCUCAUCUCCGUCAUCAACCUCCAGCCUCACCUCGUCUCCAGCUCCUCAACGUAACAGAUGACCACCAGAGGCGGAUCCAGGAUUUGAGGUUUAUGCGUUCCUACAGUAAUUUUUGGAUUAAUAUGCAAUAACAACUGGGUUCUCGAUAAGAUAUUUAUCAAUAUUUAGUAAAUUUCUUAAUAUAAAUACAUGGUUUACGCAAAAUUUACUGGGUUCCCGGGAACCCGCACUCUAUACACUAUAUCCGCCUCUGAUGACCACCCAGCUGCCAUAACCAUUGUCGACCUCCAGCCCCCCGUCACACGCAGUCGACGAACAACCAUUCUCGCCGGAAAAAUCACAACAGCCUUCCGUCGACCGCUGCCUGUCGCCACGUCCAAACAACCAUAGCUGCUUCGUCAUUCAUCGAAAACCAAACACAGCUGCUUUCUUCUUCAGCCCAUCGCACAGCUUCGCACCCACCAUUUCCCUCCAGUUGCAUCGUCAAACGACCACCCCUGGAAACGCAGCUGUGUCUCGUCGUUCUUCAGGUUCAAUCCGCCGAGGUUCUCGUGUCGUUUCCGGUUGUGGCUCAUUCAUAUGAACGUACAUCAGAUUUUGUUCCUGAUGUAUCAAAGAACGUUUAGCCAUUAACAGGUUCAUUUUGUUCCCUUUUACAUAAUUAUUUGAAUGCUUGAAUGAGGUGUUUGUGUAGUUUUGUUUGAUACGCCAUGAUGAAUUCUGUUCAUUAGCAUGCUUUAAGCUUCUUUAAUCAUCAAUUUGAGGGUGUGUUUUUAAUUCUUAUUGUUAUUACUUACUAUGUAUUCUUUCUCUUAAUGAAAAAGUUGUAGUAAUUUUUGUAUAUGUAGUUUUAUGACUUCUAUAAUUUCAUAUCAUGUCAUGCUAGCUGGAGGUUUGAGAUAUCAACAGUAGCUUCAUAAAGCAAAUAAACAUCCACCUUAUGAAUUCUGUAUUGCAUGACUUACGUGAGAUGCAAUAGUGUAAUUUAAGUAGCAUAUGGCUUUAGCUACAAAUGUUGUUUCCACAGAUUGAUUGUAAAGGUGAAUUUAGUUUGUACGCCUUGGAACAUCAUACUAAUACUGCAAGUAGGGCCGGGUGUAUUUUAUGUGACCCGACUCCAAUUUCGAACAAGCUUAAAUAAAACGUGCCAUGAAUGACGGGUACAUUUCAUGUGCCAUGACGUGAUAUUUUAAAUAAUUUUAAAUUUUUUCCGAAAUGUUAAAAGCUAUUAAAAUAAUAGAAUCCUUUUUACUUUAACUUUUUGCUUUAAUUUUGCUUUUCCUUUAAGUUUUAGCUUUAACUUUUUCUUUCCCUUUAAGCUUUAACUUUAACUUUUGCUUUUGACUUUAGUUUUAGUUUAAACAAAUAUCAACAUGUACCUAUUGUUCUCUGAAGCGUUUUUAAGUUUGUUAUCAGACAAGCCUCAAAUAAAACGUACAAAUUUCGGGGCUUUCAUAAAUGUAUAUAUUAAAAAUACUUAGACUUCGGGACGGGCCGUUUAGCGAAUUGCACGACUUUCCCCAAAAUAAUAACGCGUUAGACUCUUUAGACGCGAAUUUUAAUUAUAUUACCUCCAUAAACUCGGGUGCACAUUUUACUACAAAAAAACGGAAUUAUUAUGACGGUUAUAUUACGGCGGUUCUAUAUAACCGCCACAAAAUAUAAUUAAAAAUGAAGUUUUACCGGCCGCCGAAUUAAAUUUUUUUAGCGGCGAUUAUUUUGUAUUGUGGCGGUUGAUAAACGCCGUAAUAUUUCAAUUAAAUUAUUUUAACUAUUCAUUUACAAUAAGUUUUAGUCUUCCCCUCGCGUUUUUUGAGACUCCUUCAGAAUUUGCCCAAUUCCUUUAAUUUCCCUCCAUAAGUCUCGUAGGUAUAUCCCUCAAUUCCUUUAAUUUUGUUUCUAUUUCCCCCAAUUCCUUUAUGAGACUCCCUCCAAAUUCCCUCCAUAAGCUAGGUUGCUUCUGUCCAAGAUUUCUAGUGUAUACGUAGAACUUAUCGCUAGCCUGGCUUAGAGAGUCUGUUUCCAAAUAGAAUUCUGGUAUCCUUCCCUUCAAUAACUUACCAGCGUGCUCUUGGCGAGACUCGAACCCCUCCAAUAACUUAUCAGUGUGAUCUAAGUGGAGAACUCUCAUGUUCAGAGAAUGAAGGUUGCGGAGAUGAGGAUGCUCAGGUGGAUGUGNNNNNNNNNNNNNNNNNNNNNNNNNNNNNNNNNNNNNNNNNNNNNNNNNNNNNNNNNNNNNNNNNNNNNNNNNNNNNNNNNNNNNNNNNNNNNNNNNNNNNNNNNNNNNNNNNNNNNNNNNNNNNNNNNNNNNNNNNNNNNNNCAGGUGGAUGUGCGAGCUCACCAGGUUAGAUAAGAUUAAGAAUGAAGUUAUUAGAGAGAAGGUGGGGGUGGCCCCGGUGGAUGAGAAGAUGAGAGAAGCGAGGCUGAGGUGGUUCGGACAUGUGCGGAGGAGAAAUCCUGAUGUCCCGGUGAGGAGUUGUGAGCGGCUGGCGAUGGUCGGCAUACAGCGAGGCAGAUGGAGGCCUAAGAGGUACUGGGGAGAGGUGAUUAGGCAUGACAUGGCUAGAAUGCGGGUUUCCGAGGAUAUGGCCCUUGAUAGGAAAGUCUGGAGGUCUAGUAUCAGGGUUGUAGGAUAGGGGCUCCUAGAGUUUUUCAUACUCCUCGUCCGGGGUUGGGUGAGGAUUUGCAGNNNNNNNNNNNNNNNNNNNNNNNNNNNNNNNNNNNNNNNNNNNNNNNNNNNNNNNNNNNNNNNNNNNNNNNNNNNNNNNNNNNNNNNNNNNNNNNNNCCCUUAUAGUAGUUAUUUAUGGUAGUUACUGUCUGAUAUUAUUGCAUGCUAUUUUAUUUAUGGUUCUUAUGUUUAGAUAAUUAUUUACGCUGUUUCAGCUGGAGUUACUAAUGUUCUUUUGUUUUUGUUUUUGUUUUUCCUUUCCUUCACUAACAUGGGGGUCGAUUGGAUACAGCCUCUCUGUCCUUUCGGGUAAGGGUAAGGCCCGUCUACAUAUUACCCUCCCCAGACUCCACUUUGUGGGACUAUACUGGAUAGUUGU
Molecule: long non-coding RNA, 16097 nt
Filed under: Nicotiana benthamiana
Lineage: Eukaryota; Viridiplantae; Streptophyta; Magnoliopsida; Solanales; Solanaceae
Description: long non-coding RNA (NBEN_LNC031368)
Source: RNAcentral